Molecule: ribosomal RNA, 119 nt
Filed under: Cicer arietinum (chickpea)
Lineage: Eukaryota; Viridiplantae; Streptophyta; Magnoliopsida; Fabales; Fabaceae
Source: RNAcentral
UGGUGUGUUCAUACCAGCACUAAUGCACUGGAUCACAUAAGAACUCUGCAGGUAAGCGUGCUUGGGCGAGAGUAGUACUAGGAUGGGUGAAUUCAUUCAAAUUCCUCGUGUUGCACCUU